AGCUGCUUUAAUAAGUGGACAGCUGCACGGGGCACACUUAUUUUGGGGGCCCAUGGCUGACUUGUAAUGUUUUUUGCCUUUAUUUAUUAAAUAAGUACUUGGUGCUGGCUCCCUCCCCUGGCCGAUCCACUUACAUUUCGCACCCACCCCCCCCCAACCCGGUGAAGUGGAAACGGCCAGAGGAGGAAAGGAAGCUCUGCCUGCAACUGCCUCAGUCUGCAGAGAGGGAGCUGGAAGAGGAGUAGAGUGGUGCGUCACACGCAGGUGCCUCGCUGGUCUGUAGCUGCUGCUCAAGUUUAGCAAAUCCUCCUGAUGUCGGCGCUUGUUGUACCCAGCUGUCACACUCGCACACCAUGACUCUGCUCGGCCCCAGCCUCUCCAGGAAUCCACCAGACACCUUCACUGAAUCUAGAUCUCAAUAUGGAUAGCAUUCCCAGAGAGGUGUAUGGUGCCAUGGAGAAACUGCAGCGGCUGGUGGGGCGAACAAAAGGGGCGGGCCGUGAUGUCAAAAGGGACGGGCCACAUCGCGGAGAAUCAUAGACUGAGGGGGGAAAAAGCUCUGGAGGAAGUCGUCUUAGAAGAGGAUGGGAGACAGGAAGUCCAGCCAUUGCCUCAUUUGGCAGCUCCUAAGGAACGACUAAACACCUGGAUCAGAAGACCCAACCACUAAACAAAUUAUGUAACUUCUGAAUGAGAUACACAAUCCCCAGGAAAGGCCCGGUGCCCUGCUGCAGAAUCCAUGCAUCCCUUUUUCUUCCGUGCUGACGAAAAUGACGAGGUCUGAAUUAUGGUGAUUUGAGGGAGGAGUUGACCGAUGCAUCCCUCCUUUUCCCAUGCCAACGCCUGCUUGUGCUGGGAUUCAUUUUCUCCAAGGACACAUUAGAAACAAUUGCUUUGCGAUGGGGGAAUUGCUGGAGAUUGGCAAUUAAUGGGAUGGAUGUGGAGAACUGUUGCCUUUCUGUACUGAAUUUCGGGUCCCAUAGUGAAUAGUCAGUGAAAUGUGGAGUAUUUUCUUCCACCCAAGGGAACCACUAUAUUGCACAGACCAAUGGUUUAUACCAUUUAGUGCAGAUUUGUUUCCACACUCUAGUUUAAAGCUGCUAUUUUCACCUGCUACCCUUGGGGGAGGGGGCUCAACCCCAUCCACUUGAAUAGUCAAGUCUUAUUUCUGGAUUUUCACAUAUCUGAAGCACUACUGUUUGAUAUGAUGUUUUUUUUUUUUUAACAGCUGCAAAAGUUAAGGAUUAUGGAUUUUUUUAGCUCAAAAAUGGUCAAUGAAAGAUAUGUUAUUGAAGCUGUAUCCAAACUCAAGUCUUUCUAGGGGAAAUUCCUGAAAGAAUCGACUGAACCCAGUACAUUGUCAGGCACAUUGUGCAGCUCUGUAAUGAUACCAGUUCAGGCUGCAAUCAGUCCGGCUUCAUACAAGGCAUAUGGAGGUUGUUUUUAAAUGAGUAGUAGCAGAAGACUUAGACCUAAGCAGUGGAUAAAAAUGAUAUACUGACGAGCAUUACAUGAGCAGAAGCAUAUUUAUUUUAUAUUUGAAAGUAGUACACAUUCAAGUUUUGAGGAAUUUGCACCUUGCCCUUCUCUCUGCUUAAAGGGCCAUAUGACCGUGUACAAUGUCUGUGUCCUGGAUAAUUUUUCACUUUAACUUUUUUAGAUUUCAUGAUGUUGGCAGUUUUUUAAUUCAUGCAUAUAUCUUGAAUGUGUAACCUUUGGUGCCUCCUGUUGUUUGACCCAUGCAAAGCUGCAAAAGCUUAAAGGAUCAGUAACAUCAAUUUUUUAAAAAAAAUUGGUUAGUAUAGAACGAAAAAAAACCACAAAGACAUAUUUAAACUUUUAAAUCACUAAGUCUUUAGUAUUAAAAAAUAAUUUACCCAAACUGCGAUUGAGCUCCUCUUCAGAAAAGUCAACACGCCCACAAUGCAUCAUACGGCGCUUGAAGUGGAGUUUCGGUUAGUUAUUUCUUAAUAAAGAGUUAGCGAUUUAAAA
Xenopus laevis (African clawed frog) is the source of this 1992-nucleotide long non-coding RNA. RefSeq lists it as uncharacterized. Lineage: Eukaryota; Metazoa; Chordata; Amphibia; Anura; Pipidae. The record is from RefSeq and is a predicted model, not a curated record. The transcript has 4 exons.